Mesocricetus auratus (golden hamster) is the source of this 387-nucleotide non-coding RNA. NCBI's taxonomy places the organism in Eukaryota, Metazoa, Chordata, Mammalia, Rodentia, Cricetidae. The record is from the annotation of a RefSeq genome assembly.
AUGGGAUGGACCUGGAUCAUCCUCUUCCUUGUGUCAGUAACUACAGGUGUUCAAUCACAGGUCCAGCUGCAGCAGUCUGGGCCUGAGAUUGGGAGACCUGGUUCCUCAGUGAAGUUGUCAUGCAAGGCUUCAGGCUACACUUUCAGUAGAUACAAUAUGAACUGUGUGAGACAGUGGCCAGGACAAGGCCUGGAGUGGAUUGGAUGGAUUGGUACUACAAGUGGAAAUACUAAAUAUGCACAAAAGUUCCAGGGCAAGACCACACUGACUAGAGACAUAUCCUCCAGCACGGCAUACAUGGAGCUCAGCAGCCUGACAUCUGAGGACUCUGCCAUCUAUUUCUGUGCAAGAGACACAGUCGAUUACUGGGGAAAAGGUAACUUAUGA